Molecule: ribosomal RNA, 253 nt
Filed under: uncultured bacterium
Lineage: Bacteria
Description: partial 16S ribosomal RNA
Rfam family: Bacterial small subunit ribosomal RNA
Source: RNAcentral
UACGUAGGUGACCAGCGUUGUCCGGAUUUACUGGGCGUAAAGAGCGCGCAGGCGGUCGUUCAAGUCGAGUGUGAAAGCCCCCGGCUCAACUGGGGAGGGUCACUCGAUACUGAUCGACUUGAAGGCAGGAGAGGGAAGCGGAAUUCCCGGUGUAGUGGUGAAAUGCGUAGAUAUCGGGAGGAACAUCAGUGGCGAAGGCGGCUACCUGGCCCAAUACUGACACUCAGGUGCGACAGCGUGGGGAGCAAACAGG